GAUAGAUGCUUGAAAACUGCUUUCAUACAUACAGAUUUAUUCAUGUUGACAACCUCUGCAUGCCACUCAGUAAAAAUUUCCAGGCUACUUACAAUAAUAGCGAAACAGAAGGAUAAACUAAAUUAUGUCGGAGGAAUAUACUAUGUAAAAAAUAUAAUAAAAUUAAAGAUGAGAUUAGCACCUGAAAAUCUCUCUAUUAUGACUUGAGGGCCUACUAAUUUGGCCCUGAGAGGUGUGGCCCUUCCUAAUUUUGACAGUGAGAAAUAUAUCGCCCUGGGUCCUGAUAUAGAGGACCUGUAGAGGCAGAGGGCGGUGCCCUGGAUAACACCCCUCCAGUGGAGAAAGAAAAGACCCCAUUAUGACUGCUGCAUCCCUCUCGGAAGAUGGCACGGGAGGCCAGCACUCCCGCCAGUACACACCAAAGUAUCGUGGCCCAAAUUAUCCAGCUUCAUCUUCACUGUCUAUACCAGUCAUGUUCAAUGACUUAUAAAAAGCAGUGAUACUCUUCUAGUCCAAUAAAAUCUUGCACAAGCACAGAGAAAAGAGGGCGGGUGGGUCAUUGUUUCAGAGGGGGAAGGGCUGACCAUUUUCUUAGGGCCUCUCUUUCCCCACGCAGAGAGUGGUGAGGCCUGAUGAGGCACCUUUGCUCUGAAUCCCAAGCAUCUGAAAACCCCUUGUCCCAUCUAGGUGAAAGGAUGGAGGGAGGGAGGGAAGAAAUAGAGGAAUGAAGGGAGGGAGGAAAGAAUGUUGCUUUUCAUUGCCACUUGCACAGGAUUCUUGUGGGAGCCAGUAGGGAAGUUGCUAUUUUGAAUCGGAUAAAUUGGGGCUUCCUCUUCUUGUUCAUCAAGACCACUCUUUGGCUCAUUUCAUCCCAAUAAAACAAACCACGACACACUACCAGACUGAAGAGACCGUACAGUGCACUUUUAAGUGUCUGGGCUCCAAACCAAACUGCCUGGGUUUGAAUCCUGGCCCUGCUACUUAUCACUGUGUGAUACUGGACAAGUUACUUAACCUUUCUGUGCCUGUUUUCUCAUCUGCAGAAAUAGGUGCUGAUAGUACCUACCUCAUGGGAGUGUUGUGAGGAGAAAAUGUGUUAGCAUGGGUACGACGUUUAGAAUGGCAUUUGCCACAUGGUCUGGGAAUAAAUGUCAGCUGUCAUUAUGCUGUGGGUAUAUAAAUACACUACUCCUUGCAAUAUCAGUUUUUGCCCACACAAUUUCCAGCCCUCUGCCCUCAGGUGAGCCAGCCUGUCUCAUCUCAGGGCCUCAUGGUGGCUUAGCUCACUCAGCAGUGGGAGCAGGUGGCUGAGCUGCAGUCAGGGUUCUGUGAACGCGGUGGGUUGAGGAGGGAAAGGAAUGAGGUUUGGAGUCCUUUUGUUGUUUUGCUUGGGUCAGAAGGAAUCUGUGGUAGCAUGCAGUCAUGAUCUUAUUUUACAGCUGCAGGAUGUUGGUAGACAAACUUCUCCCUAAUCUAUAUGAUCUAUAAGCCCAAACGGCCUUUAAUAGGGGGCGGUCACAGGAGGUCAGUGGCCUCCUCCUUCACAGCAGCUAUGUGAUGUGGCUGAGCUCUGAGAAAGAGCACUUGGCUGUGGUGCAACUGGCCUAGAAUUCAUAGCCCCAUUCUCUUGAUCUGAGUUGCUUCUGGGGGAUGAGCGUGGCACCACAGCGUCUCAGGUGCUAUAUAGGGGACUUCCCAAGAGUUGCCCGUAUCGGUUGUAAGGUGCUGUCUACAUGAGGGGAUGGUUUUAUGAAUACACAAGGGAGAGUUACCAGCAGAGUGAUGGCGAAAGCUUUGAGCUAGAUGGUUUUCAUCUUCCUGAAACAUCGCCCUAGGGUUUUCCUGAUGUUUCCAUCAAUCUGUUAAGUGCAGUGUGUGGUCGUGUCCCUCAGGGACUUUCCCAUUUACUCUGGAAGACCAAACUUAUAGGCUACACUCUGGGUGCAGACAGUGCUAGUCCUGUGGGGAGUUGGGAAAAAGGAGUGGGAGGCUUUGUGGCCGAGGAGGGGCUUCAGGGCAGCAAGGAUGACGGCUGGGUUUGAACAGUCAGUGGAGAAGGAAGUGUGGAAAGGCCAGAGAAGUAGACAUGGAUGUGUGCAUGCCAGAGAGGGCAGGCAGACAGGGUUCAUGGAGGGGGCAGAAGCAGCACAUUGACCUCUGCUUCUGCCAGAAGAUCAGAGGGGAUAUCGGGGGGGUGGUCUGGCCAGAGUAAGGGCAGCCUUGAAGCCCCGAUGGAAUAAUUUUGACUUGAUUCUAUGGAAAAUGACAUACGACAGUGUAGGAGGGCUUGUCUUCUAACUGAAACCAGCUGGGAAUCUUUCCCAGUAGAGUCAAGGGCAGGGCAGAGCGAGGGCCUUUGGCAGCAUGUGCAAAUGUACAUGCAUGUAACCAUUGUGUGUGGCCCACCAUGCUUUUAAACCUACCUUUACCUCCUCUAGUUCUUCAUAUCUCUUAACCCUCUUGUCUGUGAGCAUCAACAAUCCGGGGCUUACACAGACAACACCACAGUGUGCCAUCUUGCCAGAAGGAGAAACUGAGGCACUCUAUUCUAAAGAGGCUGGUUCUAGGACCUGCCCUUGAAUCACUGUGGAGUAAGACCCAGAGUGUGGGCUGCCAGGCCCCUUCCUUCAGGGAUCUGGCUUCUAAAGUUGGUUCUUUUCCUGUAUCUCAUAAAGAGGGAAAGGAUGGGCCUAAGAGAGGUUAUUUGGACAAAUGGCCAUUGUAAUUGCCUCCUAUCAGACACAGGUGGAUAGAGGCAGGUGUGGGGAAGAGGGCUGCCUGGAUCUGGGAUUCCCAAUCCCCCAUACUCCUUGGCCUAUUGUUGAGGGGGAGCUAGAGGAGGGGUGCGGACUUAGCAGGUUAAGAAAGAUAAACGCUUACUCUUUAACAGUGGGAAAGAGGGACGGAAGAGUAAGAUUGAAAUCUGAGGCAAGAGGAGUGGCCUAACCUGGUGGAGGCAGGAGAGGCGCGUGUCCUCUACAUGCCCGUCCAAGUCCCUGGUAGGUUCGUCCUUGCUCUGAGGGAAGAGUGUGGGCCACAGGCCAUGGGGACACUCUGAGGAUGUGGGUGCUGCCCAUCUUGAAGUUUCUCCCCACCCCUCUCCGGAGCUGCUACCAUUGUCCUUUGCCCUCGGAGUGCUCUCCUCCCACCCCCGCCGCCUCUUGUUCUCUUUCUCCCUUGAGCCGUUAGAAUGGCAGGGAGCCCAGCCAGGGCCUGGACGGCGGCCUCAGCUCCCUGUUCUCAAUAAUUGUGUGUGUGUGCAUGUGUGCAUGUGUACGUGUGAGUGCCUGUGUGUGUGCAUUGUGUGUAGGGGCUGGGGCUGGAGUCGACAACAGAUCAGAGCACAGGAGUAGAGCGCUUCUGGGAGGGUGGGGCCACCCGUGAGUCACGUCCUGCACCCUGGAGCCCAGAGGACCCUUCGCUCAAACCCACCACCAGCUGGCAACACCGGACCAGACCAGCCGGAGCCGCUUUCUUCGCUGCGCAGAGGAGCCUGGGAGAAGCCAGAGGUGUAAGUCAAGCUGUGGAGGGACUGGGUGUGGCUGAGCCCCGUGACAAGUGGGAGGAGCCAGGGAUGCUUGGGAGGGGAGGCACUGUGCGCGAGAGAGGAGGGAAAGGGGAAGCGUUCGUGCCUCUCUGCCCCCUGUCCCCCUCUUGCUGCAUAGUAGCCACAUCCAUGUCUCUUGUACCCUGCAAUCUGGAGGCCACUGCCAGAAGCUGGAAAUCUCAAGUAGAGCAGCAAAAGGCUUGAGGAUGGAUUCUUGGCUCCUGGUGCAUUGCCACUCCCUGCCACCCUCCUCCUUGUCUUCUAUCUUCUCCUGGUGGCGUCAGGCCUUGCUUCGUGUCCCAACAGGAGCCUCUGGGGCUGGCACAGCCCUCACUGCCUACAACCUGGGCCUGGUGGUUCUCCUAGGGUGCCUCUGGGAGGUCAUGGUCACCCCGCUGCUGGCUAACUGCAGCUACUUCUGCCAGCCAGUGGACUACAGAUGGAGAAAGCAUGGAAUGAGGGCAUCUUCCUGGAGACAGGAAGGUAGGCACUGUGGAAUCAGCGGUGCGUAGAACAGUGAGGAUUUGGGGCUGAACCCAGCCCAGGUGGGCCAAGCCGUGGCACCAGCCGGACUGCAGUCUGAUGGAACUUCCCCUUCCUGCCCAGCAGAUGGCGAGCGUGUGCUGCUGGUGCCUCUUUCCAAAGGACGUUGAAUUGCUUGACAGGUGUUCUUUACUUUAUGAAUGAAGCCAGAGCAGCCCACCUUCCUGCAUCUCUACCACCAUGGCACCAUGCCCUGUGAUGGGUGGGCUGGAGUCAAAUAUGUAGCAGGCAGCCAGGGUCAGUUUGUGGCCACUGCUGCCCCCUCUUCCUACAGUCUCCUCACUGAGUGCCCCUUCCCUGUUGGGUUCAACACAUCUGUGCUCCUGUAAGCCCUCAGCCUCCUCGUUCUCUUCCUCAACUUCUACCACCAGACACAUCUGAGAAGCAAGCAAGAGAGGCUGAACUAGGAGCAGGACCCAGGGACUGAAACCAGCACAGCAUCCCCACAGAGAAUUGGGUGGAAGGCAGCAUGGCUUCCAGCUUACUGGUGCUGAGCAGAUUGCUCUGGGUCUCCAUUGUAUCCUCUGAAGGAAGGAGGAGGAUUGCCUUCUGUCCAGAUCUCAGGAUCAAACAAAUAGGUCCAAUUUCCUGUGCUCACUUCAGUUAGAGCACUUCUCAUGUGACUUUGUAGCUUUGUGUGCAUCUCCUUCCUCUACUAGACCUAAGCCCCUCACGGGAGGGACUCUCUUAUUCUUGAUGUUCCCCACACCUGGAAUUUCAAUAAACAUCUCAAUAAA
RNAcentral lists this long non-coding RNA (4827 nucleotides) under Homo sapiens (human). RNAcentral describes it as "HSALNT0366302". The record is from RNAcentral. Lineage: Eukaryota; Metazoa; Chordata; Mammalia; Primates; Hominidae.